CGAGUAGCUGGGAUUACAGGCAUGAGCCACCAUGCCUGGCUAAUUUUAGUAUUUUUAGUAGAGACAGGGUUUACCAUGUUGACCAGUCUGGUCUCGAACUCCUGACCUCAAAUGAUCCGUCUGCCUCAGCCUCCCAAAGUAUAGGGAUUACAGGCGUGAGCCACUCCACCUGACCUUGAUUUUAUUUUUAACCAUCCUGUCUGAGAGAUUAUUUGUGGAGGCUGACAGCAGAUGUGCAGGGUUCAACAGUGCAGUAUGCUGCAUUUCUUCAGCUAUACCUCAUAUUGUAAAGACUGUCCAGGUAACUCAACAAGCGGGAGGUAAGGGUUGCAGGUGGGAUACUGUAGUACACCCCAUUGGUCUAAAGGCACAUUUCCUUCUUUUCCACCCACUGUUGCAGUCCAGCCAGGCAUAACUUUAGGAGAAUGUGGUUAGGUAAACAUGUGCCAUUUGGCACAGGGAUAUUUGAAUUUCCUGGCAUGAGGAGUGGCGGGACUUGGACUAGCUAACCAUGAGAGUGAGUUAGUAGAGAUGUGGAUGCCGUCAUGCUGAUGGCCUGCUCAGAGUAGCACUGGGCUGUAUUCGCCCAAACACCCAACAGAGCCUGGCCAAAUGCAAGGCCCAGUCCGGUCUGGGGACUUCUCUGGAAUGCCUGUGCCAGUAUAACCGGGAAUGUCCCUCAAACAGAGAGAAGCAAAUUAUUAUCUCUUACUGAGCCCUUUGCUAAACAAGAAGCAGAGCCAUGUGGACCUAUGAGAGAUCUGGAGACACAACAUUCCCCAUUGAGGAAUACACCGCCCUUGCUAUUCUGAAUUCAAAUGGGUCCCUGAACCAAUAAAAGCAUGAAUGUAUUUUCAAGAGGUGGUGCAUGCAGCUUCAUGCAGGCCUCCUGAGCCAGUCGUCCAGAUGUGGUUAGGAAUGUCUGCUAUCAGGACACUUGCUGCCUGGGAACCCUUGGCAGAGGCCAGCACUGCCACCCAGCAGGGACCUCUGGUGUGUUGCAGCUGCUCCUCAAAUGCCUCUGGAAGACAAUAGCAACUUACGACUUCCUUACCAGGAAACAGCAUCAGAUAGCCUUCAAACCAGAAAUGCCUCUCAUGUCUUGAUGUCAGAGAACCAUUCUACCAAGAGGAGGAGCAGCCCAGCAAAGUCCAUCAAACGGGCUUUGACUCCUGGACACACAUAUCUAAAGAUGGCACUGACUUCUACCAGUAUCUGACAAAAACUCAAGUUAACUGAAGGCUCGUCUUUAGACCUGGGCAAAGGGGACAACGUAAACUGCUUUCAUGAGACACAAGGACAGGACAAUUUGCUGAGGUCUGCGAGCUGCCCCUCCAGAGAAUCCCUGCUCUCCCAAAAUUUGGUCAAGAUCUCAAGUUUAUUUUGGUGUACAACUCCUUUAUUUUGGAGUUUUACUUUCUUCCAACAAGGAAGGGAAGUUUUCCUGCUUCCGUGAUAAUGGAAGGCAGGUAACUCCUUUAUGGAGUUUGAGCUCACUUCCAACAGCGAAGAUGAGAUUUUUCCUGCUUCUAGGAUGGUGGAGAGCAGUCUUCAGCCUGAGACCCAUCCCUGGGUAAGUAACUGAAUUGGGGUUUGUCUUGGCUAAAGUUAAAGUUAACAACCAGCUGGUCUUAAUUUCUUUUUACCAUUAGAGUGUUCAGUGAUCAUGUAAGUUGUGCCAUUGUUUGUUUUGCUUAAGGGUUUUUUUUUUUUUUUUGGUGUUUGUUUGUUUCUGUUUUUCCUACUGUUUCUCUUGUUGUUUCAGUCUUUUGCCCAUUGGGUUUAAUCAACUCUAUCCAACUUGAUCAACUCUGAAGGGAAGUUCCAAAUUAUGGGGAACAAGGCCUCUGAAGUGACUAAAUUCCACCCCCCGCCUCCCCUCCACACACACACACAAAAGGUGGUAUGGUUGGGGGAGAAAAACAGCCAGCAAAAGGAGAAAAAAAGGAAAGAUUUUUGAUUUUGACUACUAAAGGGGUUUUAUUUACAGAACAAGGCCACUUUUUUGCUAGCAGGCCAAACUGAAACAAUGGCAGUUGCCCCACGCUGUAGUUCCAUACCUAAGGCUCUGCUUUCUUUUCACCAUGAGAGCCUGGGUUUGGUGGGUUUGGUUCCUAAAUCAAGCCCUUUCUGGUUUGAUACUUGGUACCUCUGAAAUAGCAGCAAUUUUUUCUGACUAAAAUACGGUAAUGAAAUUUAAAUGGAUUAUUUUAAAAAGAGCUCAAUGGUUAAAAGUCAGUUUAAUUAAAAGGCUAACAUCCAAGAUGUACGUGUGUGUGUGUGUGUGUGUGUGCGUGCACGCAUAUGUGUAUGUUUGUCUUUGAAAGGUCUUCAUGUGUUUGUUUUUUGGUUGUUUUUCUCCUCUAGGACCUUGCCUUUUUUUUUUAGCAAAAGUUUUUUUCUUCUCAGUUGACUGAAUUCUGUUAUUACCUGAUUGUUUGACUAAAAUAGAUACUGCACAGAGGCUACUCUGGGGUUUUUAAGGAAGAGUGUAGUUUAGACACUUAAAAAUGUCUUUGUUUAAAACUAUUUUUUAAGUGCACUGUAAAAGCAUCACGUUGUCUAGCCUCAUAAUAAUUCACCCUUUUUGGAGACCCAGGAUUCAGUGUGGGCUCUACCCAGAGCUCAGAUAUCUGGUUAAAAAAAGAAAAACAGGUAGUCUCUAUCUAAAUAAAAUCAGUCUUCCUAUGUAAUCCAACAAUAAAUUUCUGUAAUUUUAUUACUGAGUUGGCAUCCAUCUUUAAUCUUUCUCUAGCACCACCAGACAUUUUCUCUGUGUACCUGAUAAUGUAAAUUUUGCUAUUUGACUUUCACCUGAUAUGCAGAUUUAAGGCUAUUUAGCUGACAACUGUCUAGGGUUCUGAAACAGGUUAUCAAGAAUCUGAAAGUCUAAGAUAUGAAAAAAGAGGUUUUUAUGAAUCUAUAAGAUGUACUUUUAUCAGCAUGCCUAAUAUGUCUGUAUUUAUGUGUUGUGUACACAAUGUUUCACUAUGAAAAAUAUAUAAAAGAGCUCUAAUUAAUUGGCUCAAAGUGAAAUAAUUCAAAAAGCAGCUAUAUUCAUUAAAUCAAUAUCAAUGAUUUAUACUUAAUACGUAAAUACUUUAUCAGGAAAAAAGGAAAGAUUAGUCAAAUGCUUUUUCAAGUUUGCAUAACUUAAGUAAAAUUAUUAAUAAAUGAGCUCGCUUUAAAAUUAUUGGUAAAGUAAUAUUAGAAAUGUCAGCAUACAUUUUUGUUUGCAAUUAUUAAUCAAGCAAUUUCAUACUUACCCCUGCCAAAUAGUAUAAGUUGUCAAAAUUUGGCAGAGGGUUUACAAAACUAUAAACCCGGCCCAAAACAUAAUGAUAUUUGCUUGUGUAAUCUUUAAUAAAUAAGUCAUUGAUAUUGAUUUAAUGAAUAUAGUUGCAUUUUGAAUUUAGUAAGAUUAUCAUAACUUCUAAUUCUGUGGCUUUAGGCAGUCUAGUGCACAGGCAGUAAGGAAGUUUGUUUUGAGAAAGGACUGUUAUAGUGUUUGUUUCAAAGCUAAACUAUAAACUAAGUUCCUCCCAAAGUCCAGGAAUGAACAAGGACAGCCUGGAGGUUAGAAGCAAGUUGGAGUUAGUUAGUCAAAUCUUUUUUCCCUAUCUCAGUUAUAAUUUUGCAGUGAUGGUUUCAUAACUUUAAAUCAUGACUAUCACAGUUUUCAUAAACAAUCUAGGUAAACAAGGUAAUUAGGUAAAUGUAAUGUGAUACAUACUUGUAGACAAAUUUGUCAUAAUUUAGAAUAGAAAGUUAUAUUAAAUAAUAGAUAUUUCACUAUUUAGGUAUUUUCCAAUGAAAGUAUAUUGUAGGAAAACAUUCUUGCUAAAAAAAAAAAGGUGUGUCCUUUUUAAAAAAAGGUGAACAAGUUUUAUCUAAUUUAAAGCUUAUUUAAAGGUUAUAUAUAAAACGAGGUAAAAGAACCAGAAAAUAAGAGAGAUGUAAAGAAAGUUAUAAAAAUAAAGAGGUAUUUUUUGUGUUAAGAAAGCUUAAAGAGAAAUAAUUUUAUAUGAGAAAGAAUCUUGUAUGUUAAGUUUAGUCCUAAAAUAAAAUGACUGAUUAAGAAAGAGCAUGUUCAGGACAAAAGACAAAGUCCAGGCAUGUGAUGAAUGCUCUGUAUAAGUCAUAGUAAGAGGAUUUUUUUUUUAAAAAAAAACAAAAAUUUGUAUAUGAUCAAGUUGUUUAUAAGUAAUGGGAAAUUAUAUUGCUCUUCCUAGAGAUUGGGCUUGAUGUAAAAAAAAACACUUACGCACUAAAUUAUUGGUUAGAACAAUGAAAUUUUCUUAAGGGGUUGAUUUACUCUUAACAAAUUAUAAUAGAUUUUAAUUUUUUUUACUGAAAAUUCAGCUUUUAUUGCAUCUCACCAUUUGUUGGCUUUUUCUCCCGUUUUAAAAGGCACGUUUUCCUAAAGGUCUAAGGAAACGUUUUCUUCCAACAUAAUGUUCUGUGCACUGCAGAAGGUCUUUUCUUUUGCCUUUUGGUAAAUGACCUAACAGAUUUAACAUUUUAUUGAAAUAAUUCCUAUGCCAUUAUUGUUAAAUUUGGUUUGCUUAGGAAAAGGAUAAUUUUUUUUUUUUGAGACAGAGUCUCACUCUGUUGCCCAGGCUAGAGUGCAGUGGCGCAAUCUCGGCUCACUUCAACCUCCACCUCCUGGGUUCAAGUGAUUCUUCUGCCUCAGCCUCCUGAGUAGCUGGGACUACAGGUGCACGCCAUCAUGCCUAGCUAAUUUUUGUAUUAUUAGUAGAGAUGGGGUUUCACCAUAUUGGCCAGGCUGGCCUUGAACUCCUGACCUCAUGAUCCGUCCCCCCUUGGCUUCCCAAAGUACUGGGAUUACAGGCAUGAGCCACCACACCCCGCUGAUAUUUAAUUUUUUAAAUUAAAGUUAUUACAUUUGUGUAUCUUCCUGUAUGUGCUUUUAAAGUUCUUGUGACAUUGAGUUACAGGGCUUUGACUGCUGGGUCUGAAAAGGACACCAAGUCCUGCUCAAUUUUUAAACAUUGACAGCAAUUAAAGCCCCAUCUUUGGGCCCAGUAGAAGAUGCCAAUCAAAAUCAACUGCAUUCCUGAAACACAGGGACAGAAAUUAAAGCUAUUCAACUCCUCAAGGCCCAUGGACUGUCUCGGUAGAGGAGGGUGCGUGAGAUUGUAAGGGCUGAUUUUAAAGAUAAAAUAAGUUCAAUUUCUCUAUAAAUUAAUCAUUAAUGUUGAAGGCACACUGAAGCAAGACCAGCAUAUGGGCCCCUGAGUCAAAUUAACAAGGUUUUCUUGAAGUAUUAACUGUCUCCUAUAUAAAGAUUGUAAAGGUUAUGAAAGGCUUAUGGAAGUUGUAUCUUAUGAUCAAGAUUAAAAUUUUAUAAUUUUUAAAUAAAAUUUUGAAAAACAAAUUUACUUGGCUUCUUGUGCACCUGUCCAAGAUUAAGCCCGUUUCUUAUGAGUCCCCACAGGCACCUGAGAAGGACACCAUGGCCUACACUUGUGAACCCUUAUAAUACCUAAAGCUGUUGUUUUAGAAAUAAACAGAUAAUGGGGCCAGGCGCAGACUCACGCCUGUAAUCCCAGCACUUUGGGAGGCCGAGGUGGGCGGAUCACGAGUUCAGGAGAUUGAGACCACGGUGAAACCCCGUCUCUACUAAAAAUACAAAAAAUUAGCUGGGCGCAGUGGCGGGCGCCUGUAGU
RNAcentral lists this long non-coding RNA (5690 nucleotides) under Homo sapiens (human). Its description in RNAcentral is "HSALNT0145191". The record is from RNAcentral. Lineage: Eukaryota; Metazoa; Chordata; Mammalia; Primates; Hominidae.